UGCUUGACGACAAUAGCGUGUAGGAACCACCUGAUUCCAUCUCGAACUCAGAAGUGAAACUGCUCAGCGCCGAUGGUAGUGUGGGGUCUCCCCAUGUGAGAGUAGGACAUCGUCAAGC
RNAcentral lists this ribosomal RNA (118 nucleotides) under Oceanospirillum beijerinckii. Lineage: Bacteria; Pseudomonadati; Pseudomonadota; Gammaproteobacteria; Oceanospirillales; Oceanospirillaceae. The record is from RNAcentral.